UACAUAGGAUGCAAGCGUUAUCCGGAUUUACUGGGCGUAAAGCGAGCGCAGGCGGAUUUACAAGUCUGGUGUUAAAUAUAGCUGCCCAACAGUUAUAUGCAUUGGAAACUGUAAGUCUAGAGUGCAGUAGAGAGUUUUGGAACUCCAUGUGGAGCGGUGGAAUGCGUAGAUAUAUGGAAGAACACCAGAGGCGAAGGCGAAAACUUAGGCUGUUACUGACGCUUAGGCUCGAAAGUGUGGGGAGCAAAUAGG
RNAcentral lists this ribosomal RNA (252 nucleotides) under uncultured bacterium. Its description in RNAcentral is "partial 16S ribosomal RNA". It matches the Rfam family "Bacterial small subunit ribosomal RNA", at positions 524 to 776 of the family's 1533-position model. The record is from RNAcentral.